ACGGCCACGUGGCAUCAGAGCAGACAGUCUCUGGGGCCCUGGCCAGUCACACUCAAGUCAAACGAAGGCUGGGGCGGCCACAGAGCAGUUGUGAUGAUAGAAGGAGGAUACGGCGGGUGAGAGCUUUCACUUUGGGACUAGGGUUACUCAGAUUAAGAGGAAACUCCAAGAUCAUCAUCAGGAGAAAAAGAGCCCCUGAGAAAAUGAUUGCAGAGCUCAUGGAUGAACCGGGUGCACGAACAGCAGAGCAAAAAAAGAGAAAGGAGUGACCAGAAUCUGAUGGAGAUGUUGUUUCAGAGAUUUUGAUGUGAAGUUAAAAACAAUGAAGGUUACAAUGUUACCAUGAAGCAACAAGUGUCCAUUCAGGAAAUGUCUCAUUCUUGCAAAAAAACCAUGUUUGUUGAAUGCAACCUUCGAAAAGAAUGUAUGUUAUCCAGAAUGUGUCUCUUUUCCUCUGUCUGUGUCUCCCUGUUGAAGCUAUCUAGAUGAGCAAGGUGCAUCUCUGCUGGAAGGUACAGAUCUGAGAGUCAACAGUCUUGCACAAUUCACAGCGUGUAAGCCGGUGGUUCUUAACACUGAUGCACAUCAGAGUCGUCUGGAAAACUUAAAAAAAAAAAAAAAAAAAGUACGGUUGUCCAGGCCAAGCCCCAAACCAAAAAAAUCAGAAUCUCCGGGCUGCGCAUCAAAGUCCCAUGGUCGUUUUGAGAACCACUGCUGAAAACACUGUGAAAGGGCUGGCGAAUCUGGACGUUUCCUCAGCAGGUGGAGUGAGGCAGGUGGAGGGGAACCAGCGCCUGUCGAGUAAGCACCAGCCGCAGACAAGCUCCGCGCAAUCGGCGUCUGCCACAAGAGUUUGAAGUCGAGCUAUCACCAUUCUGGUUGCAUGGGUGGCCCUCAGACGAGGGGCCUUGGUGGAACUCGUCUCAGCACUGUUGCCAGGUGCAGUGGCCGCGGGGCGCCCCCACCUCCCUGGAGACAUCUCGGGGUUCCCCGGCGAGCCCCGCUGCGGAGCGCGCCCCCACACCCUGCGCCUGGGCGCACAUUAAUGCCUCUUCGUUUCCCCGGGUCUGCGUUAGUGCUCAGCUCCAGCCGCCCCUUCCCAGGGGCUGUCAUGGUUGCUCUCUUCUCUUGGUUGCCUCUCCUGGAUCGUUCUGCGCGGCCCCGUGAAUUGCUUGAGGGUCAGGACUACACUGCACCUCCGGAUCUUCAGAACAGGGCCUGCCUGUGCUGGCCCAGGACGCGGGCUCCGAGCUCAUAAGGACUGAGCAUUCUGAGAGGACACACAUAUAUACACGUAUUUACAUACAUUUGUGUAUAUAUGAAACCCAUACACCAAAAUUCAGAUCUCUAAAAGGAUUUGCUCCAAACUCUCACUACAGCAACAUGUAAAGGGAAAAAUAAAAAUUGAUCCUACAAGGGAGACGGUGAUGUCAGAAGAAACCGAGAGCAAAAAACCCGGUAAAUGUGGGUGAAUAUAAACAAGCGCUGACUUUACAACAUUUAAAAUAAUAAUAAUUGGUAACUUUAUGGAUAAACAUAAUGGAAUUCAAAUACUAGGCAACAGGAACAUUUAAGAUAGGCACAUGAAUACCAUCCGAAUAAAUCACCUGAAAAAAGAAAUUAAGUUAAAAAUCAAUAAUAGAAAGCAGACUCUGAAAAACAUAUCAUUGUCGAUUGAAAAACACAUUUCUUAAUAAUUCAUGGGUCAAAGAAGAAAUAACAGGAAGACAUAAAAUAUCACAAGCAUGAUGAUGACAAUACUACAUAUGGGACUUCUGGGAUGCAGCUGAGAGGCUGAUUGUAGGAGGUGUGUAAUUAUGAAUGUUUUCCUUAUAAAAGGACCAAUAAUUGAUGAGCGGAGACUGUAAUUUAAGAGGCUGGAAUGAGAACAGGAGGCUAAACCCAAAUGCAAUUUUUAAAUGAUAAGGAAAUAAAUAGCAAACACGGGUACCAUAAUUGAAGAUCCGUAUCACCUCCACCCCAUCAAUUGCAUGCCAAAUACAUAAGAAGCAGAAUUCCCCAGAAGUUCUCUGUGCUUUUAUCCAGGCUGUUCUUCCUGCCUAAAGUCAGUUUAGAUCUAGAUCAUUUAUAUGUAUAUCUGCAUCUGCAUCUAUAUCAACUACAUCUGUAAGGGUACCUAUACCUAAUGUUUAAAAUAAAUAUUAUUUUAGAGAUCAAA
This is a long non-coding RNA of Mirounga angustirostris (Northern elephant seal), 2179 nucleotides long. RefSeq lists it as uncharacterized. Lineage: Eukaryota; Metazoa; Chordata; Mammalia; Carnivora; Phocidae. The record is from RefSeq and is a predicted model, not a curated record. The transcript has 3 exons.